CCUACGGGAGGCAGCAGUGAGGAAUAUUGGUCAAUGGGCGCUAGCCUGAACCAGCCAAGUAGCGUGAAGGAUGACUGCCCUAUGGGUUGUAAACUUCUUUUAUAUGGGAAUAAAGUGCAGUAUGUAUACUGCUUUGCAUGUACCUUAUGAAUAAGGAUCGGCUAACUCCGUACCAGCAGCCGCGGUAAUACGUAGGAUCCGAGCGUUAUCCGGAUUUAUUGGGUUUAAAGGGAGCGUAGGCGGGUUGUUAAGUCAGUUGUGAAAGUUUGCGGCUCAACCGUAAAAUUGCAGUUGAUACUGGCAGCCUUGAGUACAGUAGAAGUAGGCGGAAUGCGUGGUGUAGCGGUGAAAUGCUUAGAUAUCGCGAAGAACUCCGAUUGCGAAGGCAGCCUGCUGGACUGUAACUGACGCUGAUGCUCGAAAGUGUGGGUAUCAAACAGGAUUAGAUACCCCUGUAGUC
RNAcentral lists this ribosomal RNA (460 nucleotides) under uncultured bacterium. Its description in RNAcentral is "partial 16S ribosomal RNA". It matches the Rfam family "Bacterial small subunit ribosomal RNA", at positions 338 to 795 of the family's 1533-position model. The record is from RNAcentral.